This 366-nucleotide ribosomal RNA is filed under the name uncultured organism. RNAcentral's name for it is "bacterial SSU rRNA". It matches the Rfam family "Bacterial small subunit ribosomal RNA", at positions 526 to 896 of the family's 1533-position model. The record is from RNAcentral.
CGGAGGGUCCAAGCGUUAUCCGGAAUCAUUGGGUUUAAAGGGUCCGUAGGCGGUUUUGUAAGUCAGUGGUGAAAGCCCAUCGCUCAACGGUGGAACGGCCAUUGAUACUGCAAGACUUGAAUUAUUGGGAAGUAACUAGAAUAUGUAGUGUAGCGGUGAAAUGCUUAGAGAUUACAUGGAAUACCAAUUGCGAAGGCAGGUUACUACCAAUAUAUUGACGCUGAUGGACGAAAGCGUGGGGAGCGAACAGGAUUAGAUACCCUGGUAGUCCACGCCGUAAACGAUGGAUACUAGCUGUUCGGAGCAAUCUGAGUGGCUAAGCGAAAGUGAUAAGUAUCCCACCUGGGGAGUACGUUCGCAAGAAUG